Molecule: non-coding RNA, 73 nt
Organism: Stegodyphus mimosarum
Lineage: Eukaryota; Metazoa; Arthropoda; Arachnida; Araneae; Eresidae
Source: Rfam
GCCUUCGUGGUGUAAUGGUCAGCACACUGAGCCGGUAUUUUGGAGGUCCGUGGUUCGAUUCCCGGCGAAGGAA